CCCUGCCAUUUGUACACACCGCCCGUCGCUACUACCGAUUGAAUGGUUUAGUGAGGCCUCGGGACUGGCGCACAGCGCGCUGGCAACAGCACUCUCGCGCCGGGAACUUGGUCAAACUUGAUCAUUUAGAGGAA
RNAcentral lists this ribosomal RNA (134 nucleotides) under uncultured eukaryote. Its description in RNAcentral is "partial small subunit ribosomal RNA". It matches the Rfam family "Eukaryotic small subunit ribosomal RNA", at positions 1651 to 1781 of the family's 1831-position model. The record is from RNAcentral.